RNAcentral lists this ribosomal RNA (594 nucleotides) under Hepatozoon sp. RNAcentral's name for it is "bacterial SSU rRNA". It matches the Rfam family "Eukaryotic small subunit ribosomal RNA", at positions 324 to 908 of the family's 1831-position model. Lineage: Eukaryota; Apicomplexa; Hepatozoidae. The record is from RNAcentral.
GACGGUAAGGUAUUGGCUUACCGUGGCAGUGACGGUUAACGGGGGAUUAGGGUUCAAUUCCGGAGAGGGAGCCUGAGAAACGGCUACCACAUCUAAGGAAGGCAGCAGGCGCGCAAAUUACCCAAUUCUAACAGCAUAAGAGAGGUAGUGACAAGAAAUAACAGUACAAGGCAGUUAAAAUGCUUUGUAAUUGGAAUGAUAGAAAUUUAAAUACUUUUUAAAGUAUCAAUUGGAGGGCAAGUCUGGUGCCAGCAGCCGCGGUAAUUCCAGCUCCAAUAGCGUAUAUUAAAAUUGUUGCAGUUAAAAAGCUCGUAGUUGAAUUUUUGCUAAAAAUAACCGGUCUGCUUUUAUUAAUAAAAGUGGUAUCUUGGUGUGUUUUUAGCAAUAAUGUCCUUUGAAAUGUUUUUUACUUUAUUGUAAGAAGCAAUUUUCAGGAUUUUUACUUUGAGAAAAUUAGAGUGUUUCAAGCAGGCUAACGUUUUGAAUACUGCAGCAUGGAAUAAUAAAAUAGGAUUUUAGUUCUACGUUAUUGGUUUUAAGAAUUAAAUUAAUGAUUGAUAGGAGCAGUUGGGGGCAUUUGUAUUUAACUGUCAG